RNAcentral lists this ribosomal RNA (668 nucleotides) under Euphorbia polycarpa var. polycarpa. Its description in RNAcentral is "eukaryotic LSU rRNA". The stretch from base 285 to 440 matches the Rfam family "5.8S ribosomal RNA". Lineage: Eukaryota; Viridiplantae; Streptophyta; Magnoliopsida; Malpighiales; Euphorbiaceae. The record is from RNAcentral.
UCGAACCCUGCCCAGCAGAACGACCCGCGAACGUGUUCAUAAGAUGGCUUAUGUCGGCAUCGGGCGUCCGCAUUCUCGGAAUGCCCGUGCUAGCACUGGCCCUUCACAUGGCCUCGGUCGAGCGGUUAGGGAGCACGGGCCUAGGCCCCCCUACAUCCCUCGUUCUUGGCUUCUAACCAACCCCCGGCGCGGAAAGCGCCAAGGAAUUACAAGCGAAAAGCGGUCGCUCCGAUUGCCCCGGGAACGGUGCGCGAAAGGGACGAUUGCGAUUUGAGAAUCUUAACGACUCUCGGCAACGGAUAUCUCGGCUCUCGCAUCGAUGAAGAACGCAGCGAAAUGCGAUACUUGGUGUGAAUUGCAGGAUCCCGCGAACCAUCGAGUUUUUGAACGCAAGUUGCGCCCGAAGCCUUUUGGCCGAGGGCACGUCUGCCUGGGUGUCACUCAACCGUCGCUCCGACCCCUUCCUUUUUUGGUAGGGUUGUAGAUCGGGCGGAAGAUGGCCUCCCGUUUGCUUCCCGCAUGCGGUUGGCCCAAAUGUCCGGUCCUCAGCAUCGUCGCCACGGAUAUCGGUGGUUGUAUGACCCUCGCUAAACGCUGUGAUCGAUCCGGUGCUGGCGAGACCUACCGAGGCCCCAAAGCGUAUCGAGAGACGCGCUCGCAAUGCGACC